CUAGCACCUCCUGGUGCCGGAUUAAAAGAGGGCUUCUUGCUCUCACGAUGAGAUGGGCCCGCGGCGCAUUAGCUAGUUGGAGAGGUAACGGCUCCCCAAGGCGACGAUGCGUAGCCGACCUGAGAGGGUGAUCGGCCACACUGGGACUGAGACACGGCCCAGACUCCUACGGGAGGCAGCAGUAGGGAAUCUUCCGCAAUGGACGAAAGUCUGACGGAGCAACGCCGCGUGAGUGAUGAAGGGUUUCGGCUCGUAAAGCUCUGUUAUGAGGGAAGAACACGUACCGUUCGAAUAGGGCGGUACCUUGACGGUACCUCAUCAGAAAGCCACGGCUAACUACGUGCCAGCAGCCGCGGUAAUACGUAGGUGGCAAGCGUUGUCCGGAAUUAUUGGGCGUAAAGCGCGCGCAGGCGGCCUUUUAAGUCUGAUGUGAAAUCUUGCGGCUCAACCGCAAGCGGCCAUUGGAAACUGGGAGGCUUGAGUACAGAAGAGGAGAGUGGAAUUCCACGUGUAGCGGUGAAAUGCGUAGAUAUGUGGAGGAACACCAGUGGCGAAGGCGACUCUCUGGUCUGUAACUGAC
Molecule: ribosomal RNA, 580 nt
Filed under: Alkalicoccobacillus gibsonii
Lineage: Bacteria; Bacillati; Bacillota; Bacilli; Caryophanales; Bacillaceae
Description: bacterial SSU rRNA
Rfam family: Bacterial small subunit ribosomal RNA
Source: RNAcentral